UUCCAGAUUAACCUUGCCUCACAAGGGGUGU
Molecule: non-coding RNA, 31 nt
Filed under: Rattus norvegicus (Norway rat)
Lineage: Eukaryota; Metazoa; Chordata; Mammalia; Rodentia; Muridae
Source: RNAcentral